Molecule: ribosomal RNA, 450 nt
Filed under: uncultured bacterium
Lineage: Bacteria
Description: bacterial SSU rRNA
Rfam family: Bacterial small subunit ribosomal RNA
Source: RNAcentral
UCGAGAGGCUUUGGCAAUGGGGGAAACCCUGACCAAGCGACGCCGCGUGGAGGAUGAAGGCCCUUGGGUUGUAAACUCCUUUUGUCGGGGAAGAAACACGAUCAGGUGAACAAUCUGGUCGUUUGACGGUACCCGGCGAAUAAGCUCCGGCUAACUCCGUGCCAGCAGCCGCGGUAACACGGGGGGAGCAAGCGUUGUUCGGAAUCACUGGGCGUAAAGGGCGUGUAGGCGGUCAGGUAAGUGGAAUGUGAAAUCCCUCGGCUCACCCGAGGACCUGCAUCCCAAACUGCCUGGCUUGAGUAUGGGAGAGGAUGAGGGAAUUCCUGGUGUAGCGGUGAAAUGCGUAGAUAUCAGGAGGAACACCGGUGGCGAAGGCGCUCAUCUGGCCCAAUACUGACGCUGAGGCGCGAAAGCUAGGGGAGCAAACGGGAUUAGAUACCCCCGUAGUCC